Long non-coding RNA from Zingiber officinale, 404 nucleotides. RefSeq lists it as uncharacterized. The transcript is spliced from 2 exons. The record is from RefSeq and is a predicted model, not a curated record. Lineage: Eukaryota; Viridiplantae; Streptophyta; Magnoliopsida; Zingiberales; Zingiberaceae.
AGGUACCUCGGGAUGAGACCAGAGGAGGGCUCCUUCAAACAGAAAUGAAAAUGCAAUACAUGCUGGCGAAAGCCGUAUGGAUACAACUCUCUUAGGAGGUUAGGAAGAUGUCAUCUCGAAUGUGAUAGGGAACACGGAAAUGGAGUAGCAGAGGAGAUGAGGUUGAAUGUAUUACACACUAUCUAAGGCUCUAAGUGCCCGUUAUUAGUCCUUUUCCUUUUAUUGUUAUGUUAAUAUGAGAUGGAGACUACUUGUUAGCUUGCUUUGGUAAGAGGUCACAAAUGUUUCUCGGAAGAUGUGUUUUUUUUCUUUUUCUUGACAUUUUAUUUUACAAAUUUUGGACAAAUGUGUGAUGCAAAGAUGUUCCCUUUCAGUGUAAAGUUUAUGGUUUAGUUUCUAGAAAA